AACGAACGCUGGCGGCAUGCCUAACACAUGCAAGUCGAACGAGACCUUCGGGUCUAGUGGCGCACGGGUGCGUAACGCGUGAGAACCUGCCCUUAGGUUCGGAAUAACUUCCCGAAAGGGGUGCUAAUAACGGAUAAUGUCUUCGGACCAAGGAUUUAUCGCCUUUGGAUGGGCCCGCGUUGGAUUAGCUAGUUGGUAGGGUAAAAGCCUACCAAGGCGACGAUCCAUAGCUGGUCUGAGAGGAUGAUCAGCCACACUGGGACUGAGACACGGCCCAGACUCCUACGGGAGGCAGCAGGGGGGAAGAUUGGACAAUGGACGAAAGCCUGAUCCUGCAAGACUUCGUGUGGGAUGAAGGCCUUAGGGUUGUAAAGCUCUUUUACCCGGGAGGAUGAUGACGGUACCGGGAGAAUAAGCUCCGGCUAACUCCGUG
This 433-nucleotide ribosomal RNA is filed under the name uncultured bacterium. Its description in RNAcentral is "partial 16S ribosomal RNA". It matches the Rfam family "Bacterial small subunit ribosomal RNA", at positions 29 to 507 of the family's 1533-position model. The record is from RNAcentral.